GGGGCUGUAGCGCAGUUGGGAGCGCGUCUGACUGGCAGUCAGGAGGUCAGGGGUUCAAGUCCCCUCAGCUCCACCA
Molecule: transfer RNA, 76 nt
Filed under: Anaerolineae bacterium
Lineage: Bacteria; Bacillati; Chloroflexota; Anaerolineae
Also listed under: 1 other name
Description: tRNA-Ala
Rfam family: tRNA
About the family: Transfer RNA (tRNA) molecules are approximately 80 nucleotides in length. Their secondary structure includes four short double-helical elements and three loops (D, anti-codon, and T loops). Further hydrogen bonds mediate the characteristic L-shaped molecular structure. tRNAs have two regions of fundamental functional importance: the anti-codon, which is responsible for specific mRNA codon recognition, and the 3' end, to which the tRNAs corresponding amino acid is attached (by aminoacyl-tRNA synthetases). tRNAs cope with the degeneracy of the genetic code in two manners: having more than one tRNA (with a specific anti-codon) for a particular amino acid; and 'wobble' base-pairing, i.e. permitting non-standard base-pairing at the 3rd anti-codon position.
Source: RNAcentral